GGGACCAUGAACGGGCCGAACCGUGAGCGACUCUGCUGCGUCACAGUGGCGCGAUUGAGAUUAAAUUGUGCCGCGCGAUUUGUUCCAGGAAACUUUCAGGGAGCCUGCGCGUUUAUGUGGCAUGUCAUCACGCAAGCCACCUCCCAUGAUCAAUCAGCCACCUUCCGAUGGCAGCACCAUGCCCCGGCAGAUGGUGUCGCGCGUCGAACUGGUGGGGCCGAGGCAGCCGACGCCUUAUGACAAGGCGCUGUGUGCGAAGGCGCGGGGCGAUGCCCUGAAAAAACAACGCGAAGCGCUGGGCGCGUCCA
Molecule: unclassified non-coding RNA, 308 nt
Filed under: Hevea brasiliensis (rubber tree)
Lineage: Eukaryota; Viridiplantae; Streptophyta; Magnoliopsida; Malpighiales; Euphorbiaceae
Source: RNAcentral